This 484-nucleotide ribosomal RNA is filed under the name uncultured bacterium. RNAcentral describes it as "partial 16S ribosomal RNA". It matches the Rfam family "Bacterial small subunit ribosomal RNA", at positions 30 to 507 of the family's 1533-position model. The record is from RNAcentral.
AUUGAACGCUGGCGGCAGGCCUAACACAUGCAAGUCGAGCGGAUGAAGGGAGCUUGCUCCUGGAUUCAGCGGCGGACGGGUGAGUAAUGCCUAGGAAUCUGCCUGGUAGUGGGGGAUAACGUCCGGAAACGGGCGCUAAUACCGCAUACGUCCUGAGGGAGAAAGUGGGGGAUCUUCGGACCUCACGCUAUCAGAUGAGCCUAGGUCGGAUUAGCUAGUUGGUGGGGUAAAGGCCUACCAAGGCGACGAUCCGUAACUGGUCUGAGAGGAUGAUCAGUCACACUGAACAUGAGACACGGCCCGCACUCCACCGGGAGGCGGCGGGGGGGAAUUUUGGACAUGGGGCAAAGGCCGGCUCCCGCCUUGCCGCGUGUGGAAAGAAGUUCUUGUAAUUUUAAAGUUCUUUAAUUUGGGAGGAAGGCAAAUAAUUUAAUCCCUUGUUUUUUUGACGUUCCCAACAAAAUAAGCCCCGGCUACCUUCGUC